ACCCGCACAAGCGGUGGAUGAUGUGGUUUAAUUCGAUGCAACGCGAAAAGCCUUACCCACCUUUGACAUGGCAGGAAUCCCGAAGAGAUUUGGGAGUGCUCGAAAGAGAACCUGCACACAGGUGCUGCAUGGCUGUCGUCAGCUCGUGUCGUGAGAUGUUGGGUUAAGUCCCGCAACGAGCGCAACCCUUGCCAUUAGUUGCUACGAAAGGGCACUCUAAUGGGACUGCCGGUGACAAACCGGAGGAAGGUGGGGAUGACGUCAAGUCCUCAUGGCCCUUAUAGGUGGGGCUACACACGUCAUACAAUGGCCGGUACAGAGGGUAGCCAACCCGCGAGGGGGAGCCAAUCCCACAAAGCCGGUCGUAGUCCGGAUCGCAGUCUGCAACUCGACUGCGUGAAGUCGGAAUCGCUAGUAAUUCGCGGAUCAGCAUGUCGCGGUGAAUACGUUCCCGGGCCUU
Molecule: ribosomal RNA, 460 nt
Filed under: uncultured Allobrachymonas sp.
Lineage: Bacteria; Pseudomonadati; Pseudomonadota; Betaproteobacteria; Burkholderiales; Comamonadaceae
Description: bacterial SSU rRNA
Rfam family: Bacterial small subunit ribosomal RNA
Source: RNAcentral